This is a non-coding RNA of Pseudohyphozyma bogoriensis, 72 nucleotides long. The record is from the annotation of a GenBank genome assembly. NCBI's taxonomy places the organism in Eukaryota, Fungi, Basidiomycota, Microbotryomycetes, Chrysozymaceae.
GUUCCCAAAGCUAAACGGUGCAGCGAAGUACUGUUAAUACUUAGACAAUUGGUUCGAUUCCAAUUGGGGACG